CCCCACUCAGGGUCACACCUGGGAGUUUCCAGUACUCCACCAGUCUUGACUACAGGAGGGAGAGUUAAGCAGAGGCAUAUCCAUUCCGUUCCUAGUUUGGGCAGUGGCUAGCGAGUGGAAGGCAAUCUGCUACAAGU
Molecule: small nucleolar RNA, 137 nt
Filed under: Ornithorhynchus anatinus (platypus)
Lineage: Eukaryota; Metazoa; Chordata; Mammalia; Monotremata; Ornithorhynchidae
Source: RNAcentral